This 903-nucleotide long non-coding RNA is filed under the name Cricetulus griseus (Chinese hamster). Its description in RNAcentral is "lncRNA (ENSCGRG00015033477.1)". The record is from RNAcentral. Lineage: Eukaryota; Metazoa; Chordata; Mammalia; Rodentia; Cricetidae.
AGUCACUGCUUAAAGCAAUGGGACACACAUGUCCCUUUUCUUUUUUUGUAGCAGUUGUUUUAUAAAAUGUUGUCGGAAUAGCAAUAUGGAACACUUCUAUGGAGCGAUAGCAUGAAGUGAAUAUUUGUAUAACUGACUAGACUUCUCCAGGCUGCUCAGCUGCUCAUGGGCAGAUGCACUUGGCAAUUGCAGAGUCCCCCUUCUUCCUUUCUGGCCUUUCUGAGCCUUCUAAAGAAGGGGAAGACUGGACCGGAGGUAAACCAGAGACAGUUUCUUGUAUCUCUGCUGCUCAACAAAGGGACCCCAUGUUUGUGUCAUGUAGCCUAGGGACUCAACAAGCCCCGUCCCAGUCCUUCUGGACUCCCAGGCAUGCUGUCUUCAGUUUAGUGCUCCCUUCCCUGGGUUAUUUCAAAAUCUGUUGUUUGUUGUUCAUACCUCCUAGAUUCCCAUGAAGAAGAAAAGGGCUAAUUAAACUGGAGACCUUCUGAAGCACAGUUUCCAGCUCUGCAGGGUCUCCUGAAGAAGAGGAUCUGGGAGCCUAUUUUCGUGACGGUUUUCUUCCCAGGGAACCAUAUGCCACCAGACAGGCAGGCAGCAUGAGUGGAUUGCAGAUUCAGUGCUGGAGUGUUGGUGAACAGGGCGGGAUGUUAGUCCUCAUUGGAAGGCAGCUUGCUGCUGUGGCUCCUCCUCUUCUUGCCCAGAUACCCACGUAGGACAGAUGCUGCCCUCGUCUCCACCGCAGGCUCAUGGAUUCGGCUCUGGUGCUGGCCUGACACUGGGCAUCCCCACUUUCUACUUCUUCAUGCAGCUGCUUGUGGCCUUCCAGUGUUGAAGCUGUCUGCUUGAUCUUUUUUUUCCUUUUCUUUCCUUCCUUCCUUCCUUCCUUCCUUCCUUCCUUCCUUC